AGUGAACGCUGGCGGCAGGCCUAACACAUGCAAGUCGAGCGGCAGCGCGGGGGCAACCCUGGCGGCGAGCGGCGGACGGGUGAGGAAUUCGUCGGAAUCUGCCUUUUUGUGGGGGAUAACGUAGGGAAACUUACGCUAAUACCGCAUACGUCCUACGGGAGAAAGUGGGGGACCGCAAGGCCUCACGCAGAAAGAUGAGCCGACGACCGAUUAGCUAGUUGGUGGGGUAAAGGCCCACCAAGGCGACGAUCGGUAGCUGGUCUGAGAGGAUGAUCAGCCACACUGGGACUGAGACACGGCCCAGACUCCUACGGGAGGCAGCAGUGGGGAAUAUUGGACAAUGGGCGCAAGCCUGAUCCAGCCAUGCCGCGUGUGUGAAGAAGGCCUUCGGGUUGUAAAGCACUUUUGUCCGGAAAGAAGUCCCUGGAGCUAAUACCUUCGGGGGAUGACGGUACCGGAAGAAUAAGCACCGGCUAACUUCGUG
RNAcentral lists this ribosomal RNA (484 nucleotides) under uncultured bacterium. RNAcentral's name for it is "partial 16S ribosomal RNA". It matches the Rfam family "Bacterial small subunit ribosomal RNA", at positions 29 to 507 of the family's 1533-position model. The record is from RNAcentral.